UCUUUUCAGAAGAAGAAAAGACCCAGAAGCAUCUCUCCAACUGCCUCUCCUCCCACUCCGUCAUCUCUCCGUCCCCCCCCUGCCCGUAGAUCUUAAAUAACUGUCAACUUUGGCUGUUUAAGAUCUCGGCUGACAGCUUCCUGAAAUGAUUUUUGAGCGGGAAGCCAUAAUAUAUGAGUUGGAUAAAAUGUUAAGGAAGGAUCCCUUCAAGUGUCAAGCUUGUACCCCAGAUGUGCUUUCAGUUUCAGUGGAUGGAAAUUUUAAGUAUUACAUUUAAAGAAUGCAGCAAGAUUGGAGGAACAGGCUAUAUUUCAGGACCUUUUCAUGCCAAGGAUGAAAACGUAGGAACAUUUGUGGACUGUAUACACAAAUCAACCAAAAAUAUUUUGUGGUGGGCAAUGGUCUGCAGCCAGGGAGAUCUCUCACAGAUCCAGCAGCAAACUGGGUGAGGAGGCUUGGAGCUAGUGACUCUGUCAGUCUUCACACAAGAACAAGGGCAAUCAAUGACAUCAUGAUGGUAAAGAGACUGGAAGAGGAAAAGAGGAUCUUUGUUGAUGGACCAUCAUUGGAAAUCUCUGUCAUCCUAUGAAGACACUCUAAAGGAGUUUCCCACCUGUUAUCGGGAGGUAAAUUUAAAAGUUUGUCCUGUGACCUAACUGACGAAGGUCCAAGAGGUCUCCAGAGCAUCAUCCUCAGAGAGCUGCAGCACCAACAGAUGAAGCUGCAGGCAACAGAGUAUUAUCUACAGCAGGGGAGCCCAAAGUGGGUCCUGGAGGCCCUAGUGGCCCGGCAUCCUGCAUGUUUUAGUUCUCUCCCUGGUUUAA
Molecule: long non-coding RNA, 824 nt
Organism: Poecilia latipinna (sailfin molly)
Lineage: Eukaryota; Metazoa; Chordata; Actinopteri; Cyprinodontiformes; Poeciliidae
Exons: 6
Source: RefSeq, a predicted model, not a curated record